AUGCUCGCUCUGAUAGCACAAACACCACAACUGGAACAAUACAGAAAUCAGCAUGGUCCCUGUGCAAGAAUGACACGCAAAUUUGUGAAAUGUUCCAGAUUUUU
Ochotona curzoniae (black-lipped pika) is the source of this 104-nucleotide small nuclear RNA. The record is from RefSeq and is a predicted model, not a curated record. Lineage: Eukaryota; Metazoa; Chordata; Mammalia; Lagomorpha; Ochotonidae.